GGGUUGUGAGGUUAAGCGACUAAGCGUACACGGUGGAUGCCCUGGCAGUCAGAGGCGAUGAAGGGCGUGCUAAUCUGCGAUAAGCGCCGGUAAGGUGAUAUGAACCGUUAUAACCGGCGAUACCCGAAUGGGGAAACCCAGUGUGAUUCGUCACACUAUCAUUAACUGAAUCCAUAGGUUAAUGAGGCGAACCGGGGGAACUGAAACAUCUAAGUACCCCGAGGAAAAGAAAUCAACCGAGAUUCCCCCAGUAGCGGCGAGCGAACGGGGAGGAGCCCAGAGCCUGAAUCAGCAUGUGUGUUAGUGGAAGCGUCUGGAAAGGCGUGCGAUACAGGGUGACAGCCCCGUACACAAAAGCGCAUGUGCUGUGAGCUCGAUGAGUAGGGCGGGACACGUGGUAUCCUGUCUGAAUAUGGGGGGACCAUCCUCCAAGGCUAAAUACUCCUGACUGACCGAUAGUGAACCAGUACCGUGAGGGAAAGGCGAAAAGAACCCCGGCGAGGGGAGUGAAAAAGAACCUGAAACCGUGUACGUACAAGCAGUGGGAGCCCCACCACUAAGCCAGUGGUGAACUCCACAUACGCAUCCUUUGCUGAGGAUACGGUUAACGGAGCGAAAGCGACGUUCAACCUCAAAAGAAGCAGAGGGGGCUUAGUGGUGGGGUGACUGCGUACCUUUUGUAUAAUGGGUCAGCGACUUAUAUUCUGUAGCAAGGUUAACCGUAUAGGGGAGCCGAAGGGAAACCGAGUCUUAACCGGGCGUUAAGUUGCAGGGUAUAGACCCGAAACCCGGUGAUCUAGCCAUGGGCAGGUUGAAGGUUGGGUAACACUAACUGGAGGACCGAACCGACUAAUGUUGAAAAAUUAGCGGAUGACCUGUGGCUGGGGGUGAAAGGCCAAUCAAACCGGGAGAUAGCUGGUUCUCCCCGAAAGCUAUUUAGGUAGCGCCUCGUGAA
This 955-nucleotide ribosomal RNA is filed under the name Salmonella enterica subsp. enterica serovar Mbandaka. RNAcentral describes it as "partial 23S ribosomal RNA". It matches the Rfam family "Bacterial large subunit ribosomal RNA", at positions 1 to 888 of the family's 2925-position model. The record is from RNAcentral. Lineage: Bacteria; Pseudomonadati; Pseudomonadota; Gammaproteobacteria; Enterobacterales; Enterobacteriaceae.